GUCUCUUUGAGUUUUUUUAAUGAAGAGUUGGGCCUGCUCGGUGAUUAAUAUUUAACAGCUGCGGUAUUAUAACUGUACUAAGGUAGCAUAAUAAUUUGCUCUAUAAAUUGGGGCUAGAAUGAAUGGUUUGACGAGAAUUUAACUGUCUCUAUUUUAUUUAUUAGAAAUUAAUUUUUAUAGUGAAAAAGCUUUAAUUAUUUAAAGGGACGAAAAGACCCUAUUGAGCUUUUGUUAUUAUAUAGAUAUAUAUAUAUAUAUAUAUAUAUGUAUAUAUAUAUAUAUAUAUAUGAUUUAUUUGUAAAUAACUUUGGUUGGGGUGAUCAAGGAAUAAAAAUUAAUUUAAAGUGUUUUAUUAACUUCCUUAAUUUUAAAUUUAGUUGAAGAAUAAACCAAGUUUUUUGCUUAGAAGAUAAGUUACCAUAGGGAUAACAGCGUAAUUUUUUUUGAGAGUUCAUAUUGAAAAAAGAGAUUGCGACCUCGAUGUUGGAUUAAAAUUGACCUUAAGGUGUAGAGGCUUUAUUAGGUAAAUCUGUUCGAUUUUUAAAAUUUU
This 550-nucleotide ribosomal RNA is filed under the name Octopus vulgaris (common octopus). Its description in RNAcentral is "partial 16S rRNA". It matches the Rfam family "Bacterial large subunit ribosomal RNA", at positions 1817 to 2597 of the family's 2925-position model. Lineage: Eukaryota; Metazoa; Mollusca; Cephalopoda; Octopoda; Octopodidae. The record is from RNAcentral.